GACAUUUUAAAACAUUUUAUUACAAGAUAUCUAGUGUGUGCUUCAAUUGUUGGAUCACACUGAACACAGUAUCUAUGAACGCUUCUAUUUGAUUAGGGAGGAACCGGCCCGGACUUUUUCUACAAAGUAGCAAUAUCAUAUUUCAAGCUGGGGAACAGCAUUUGGCUCAGACCAUAUGUUCAUCUCUAUACAACUGAAGUCACCAAUAGCUUACAGACUCUCUCAGUAAUUUCUCCACGUCACAGUGUUGAAUGCAAGAUGGAUGAGAGUCAAGAUAUCUAAAGAAGGCUAAGGGGAAGAAUGGUUAGAUUAAAUUAGUUUUCCCCAAACUGUGAUGCGAGAUCUUCAGACAACUGCC
RNAcentral lists this long non-coding RNA (358 nucleotides) under Canis lupus familiaris (dog). Its description in RNAcentral is "lncRNA (ENSCAFG00000045030.2, ENSCAFG00805022481.1, ENSCAFG00845028280.1)". Lineage: Eukaryota; Metazoa; Chordata; Mammalia; Carnivora; Canidae. The record is from RNAcentral.